CAAAAUGUAGCUCAAACACAAAGCAUCUGGCCUACGCCCAGAAGAUUUCGUAUCCGAACAUUUUGA
This 66-nucleotide transfer RNA is filed under the name Anomalurus derbianus. RNAcentral describes it as "tRNA-Val". It matches the Rfam family "tRNA". From Rfam's summary of the family: Transfer RNA (tRNA) molecules are approximately 80 nucleotides in length. Lineage: Eukaryota; Metazoa; Chordata; Mammalia; Rodentia; Anomaluridae. The record is from RNAcentral.